RNAcentral lists this ribosomal RNA (404 nucleotides) under uncultured bacterium. RNAcentral's name for it is "partial 16S ribosomal RNA". It matches the Rfam family "Bacterial small subunit ribosomal RNA", at positions 28 to 526 of the family's 1533-position model. The record is from RNAcentral.
GACGAACGCUGGCGGCGUGCUUAACAAAUGCAAGUCGAGCGGAGCGGCGAACGGGUGAGUAAAGCGUGAGUAACUGCCCCCCUCUCUGGGAUAACAGUUGGAAACGGCUGCUAAUACAGGAUAGUGGGGGAUGACUCGCGCCCAUGCAGCUUGUUGGUGGGGUAGUGGCCUACCAAGGCGACGACGGGUAGCCGGCCUGAGAGGGAGACCGGCCAUAUUGGGCGAAGAUACGUCCCAAACUCCGACAGGAGGCAGCAUGUGGGAAUAUUGCUCAUUGGGGGAAACCCUGCUGCAGCAACGCGCGUGCGGGAUGACGGCCUUCGGGUUGUAAUCCGCUUUCAGCCAUGCCGCGGUGGUGGCAGAAGAAGCACCGGCUAACUACGUGCCAGCAGCCGCGGUAAUAC